CGACAGUGUCCCCGCUUUCCCUCAGGAAGGAUGAAUUAUUUAUCUAAAAGAGAUAAGAAUUUAUGGAGAGUAUGGUCCGAAGAAGCCACCGAACGACAUGCGAGAGGUUCGGGAAAACGUCGAGCUAGAAGCGAA
This is a long non-coding RNA of Aethina tumida (small hive beetle), 135 nucleotides long. RefSeq lists it as uncharacterized. The record is from RefSeq and is a predicted model, not a curated record. NCBI's taxonomy places the organism in Eukaryota, Metazoa, Arthropoda, Insecta, Coleoptera, Nitidulidae. The transcript is spliced from 3 exons.